UACACAAAAUAAUCUUUUUAACUUUUGUUGACUGAUAUGAAUUAAAAGCUUUAACAUAACCAUAUAAACGCUCGUCUUUUAAAAGAUUUUUGUUCGUUAUUUAAUUAUCUUAAACAUAACCUUAAAAAACUAAACUGGUACAGUACUAAUUUGCUGGCUGUACUACAAGAUUGCGUGGUCAAACAUUUUUGUACAUUAAUAAUGUUACAUUGUUUAAUUAUUAUCUAAAUAUAGUGUUUUAGUGCAGUAAAUUAAUAAAAAACUGUUUUAUUUGUAUGUUGUUACAAUUAAUAAAUUAUAUUUGAAAGUUUAUUGAAAUAAUUAAAUUUAAAGAAUAUCGAACAAUAGGCGAGUACAAUAGACAAUGAAGUAAAUUUUAUAGAUCUGUCUUAAUAAUUUUAUUUUAUGAAAUAGCUGCAGAAAAAAUGAAAUUUACCGAAAAAUUAAAGAGAUUAAUUUUCGAAGAUAUUUACAGUUUUGGAUUUGCUGCUGUCGAAUGACAAAAUUACCGAAAAACUUAACUUUUUUCUCUUUUUAGAAAAAUAAGUUUUGCUGUAGUGACAUUUUACUUAAAAAGUAAGUCUAUAUAAUGAUGUAAUAUUAGAUGUGUAGUAUAAUUAAGGCCAGAUUUAAAAAAACUCCAGGCUCCAAAAACAUGUAUUGAUGAUCUUUUUUUGGCUAUAGAUUUUUAAUUUAUUUUCCAACUAUUCCAAAAUGAUUAUAAUAUACAGAACAAUAUUGGUAUACUAUAUUUAACAAUUUUUUUUUAGUUUUGAUACCUGCUAUUGUAAGUUAUCAUCUGUAUUAUUAAGUAUGCACUUAUAAGUAAACUAAGAUACUUCAAUAUCAUAAGAUUAAUAUCCUAAUCAUAUUAAGAAACAAAAAAAGAUUGUAAUCAUGAUUUUUUAUUACUGUCUAUCAUAAUAAAGUCAUCUAUCGAAUUAACAUAUAGUUCUUGAACAAACUAAAUUAUAGUUUUUGUACAAUUUUGAUGUCUAUUGGUUUUGUAUACACUUGUCUUAACAUACUACAUUAGUAAGCUUUAAUUUCAUAUCAGAUCAACAUUAGAAUGAAUUGUUAUACUACAAAUACAGUAUUGUAGCUAAAUUUCUCAUUUGAAUUUUCAUUGAACAAUAUUAGAUUGCAAAAAAAUAAAUAAAUCUAAUAGUAAUUGUUAAAUUUUUUAAUUAAAAUAGGGCAAUGUAAUAAAGUAAUACAUGUAGUUAUUAUAGUACUAUUUUUAUGAUGUAAUAUUAGAGGGAGUAGUAAGAAAAUAUCUUAAAAUUUAAGAUAUAAGUAAUUGUUAUUUUAUAUGUUACUUUCAAGUAUUUAAAAAAAAAUUAUAGUAAAAUUAUUAUUUUUAUAGAUAAUAUGUUUACAUCAGUAGAAUUUUGAUAAGGUUAAGAAUAUUGCGUUCCUUGAAAAAGAAAAUUUUACUCAAAAGAAAUAAAUAUUAUAGAUAAUACAAAUAAAUUAUUUGUAGUUGUAUAGCUAAAAGAUUUGAAUGUGGUAGGUUAGACUAGUUAAAGCAAUUAGUUUAAAUUUAAAAGCUGUUAAUUAUUAAAAUAAAUACAUAAAUUCAUUAAAACUUCACAAAUUUUAGUAUUGCCAAUUGGAAUCAAUCUGUUAUAUUUUUAUAAGUGUUGAAUACAAACUCAAAUUCUUAAAUAAUUUUAAGUCAAAUUUUUUUUUAAUAGUUCAAAAACCUUAUUAAGUUAAAAAAAUAAUUUCCCUUGAGCCUUAACUUAUCCAGGUUGUACUGUAUUUUAAAAUUGGCAUCAGUGCCGUGCCAUGAAAAGGGCAUAGGAUGAUAUAAGGUUCAUACACUUUGCAAUAUUUAAUUGUUAUAACUGAUAGUUAUUUAAUAUUAGAGGAUGCUAACAUAUAAUUUAAAAAAAAAUUAUAUAUAUAAAUUUUAUAAAUUAAAAUAAAUAAAUAAUAAAUAAAUUUUUACCUAUUCUCUUUUCAUUGUGUCAGUGCUAGGUUUUACAGUUUUUCUUGUGCUUGAAAGAAAGUAGUUUAGGUGGGAUACAUUUCUUCCAAUAAAAAUUAUUACAUGAUGAAGAUAUUAUUAUUUUUUUUAAGGGAGAAAUAAUAGUUAUUCAGAACAAAAACUCCAUACUAGACCUAACCCCAAGACCUAUACUAGUGGAGGCAUGAUUGCAAUGCAUUUUAUGAGGGAUCAAGGUUUUUUUUGUGAAACUGGUUAUUUUUCAUUAGGAAUUGUUAAAAUGUCUGUAUGAGGGUUAUCUUAAUACUUAAUUUUCUAUGGCAUUAUGCAUAUUCUACAUGAAUUCAUGUAUUACGCAUAUUCUGUCAUGGAAUAAAGUAUAAGGUAUAACUCUCAUACAGGUGUUUCACAAUUCCAAAGUGAAAAAAAUUCUAAGUUGAGCAAAAAAAAUAAAGUUUUCUACAAAAUAAUGAUAAAAAAUAAUUGAAACGGUCAUUUCAAAAAUGACAUGAGUAAUAAAAUUUAAAUUUCCAUGUAUCAAAAAAACUUAAUUACUCUAGAAAUCUA
Long non-coding RNA from Daktulosphaira vitifoliae (grape phylloxera), 2518 nucleotides. RefSeq lists it as uncharacterized. The record is from RefSeq and is a predicted model, not a curated record. The transcript has 4 exons. Lineage: Eukaryota; Metazoa; Arthropoda; Insecta; Hemiptera; Phylloxeridae.